RNAcentral lists this long non-coding RNA (3667 nucleotides) under Homo sapiens (human). Its description in RNAcentral is "HSALNT0385146". Lineage: Eukaryota; Metazoa; Chordata; Mammalia; Primates; Hominidae. The record is from RNAcentral.
UGUAGUCCCAGCUACAUGACAGGCUGAGGCAGAAGAACUGCUUGAACCCAGGAGGCAGAGGUUGCAGUGAGCCAAGAUCUCACCACUGCACUCCAGCCAGGGUGACAGAGCAAGACUCCGUCUUUAAAUAAAUAAAUAAGUAAAUGGGGCUGGCCAUGGUGGCUUAGCCUUGUAAUAUCUGGAAAUUUGGGAGGCUGAGGCAGGAGGAUUGCUUGAGCCCAGGAGUUCAAGACCAGCCAGGGCAACAUAGUGGGAUAUGAGACCCUAUCUCUACCAAAAAACUCCCCAACAAUUAGCUGGAUGUGGUGGUGAGUUCCUGUUGUCUCAGCUCUUCGGGAGGCUGACGCAGGAUGACUGCUUUAUCCUGGGAGGUAGAGGUUGCAAUGAGCUGUGAUUGUGCUACUGCACUCCAGCCUGGGUGGCAGAGCGAGACUUUGUCUCAAAAAGAAAAAAAAAAAAAAGUGGGAAAAUCAAAUAGCAUGGAUGGUAUAAUCCCAUUUAUGUGAAAAUAACCAUUAAAAAUGUUAAAAAGGCACCCACUCAGAGGUCAUUUAUAUGGUAACCCCAAACAGCAGGAACUGCCCUAAGUUCCUGCUGUGGUAAACCCCACGCAUUGAAACUGCCCUAAGUCUCAUCACUGGAACGAAUGAAGGAAGACUGAAGGGAUGUGCUGCAGAGUCUGGCUGGGGGCAGGGUUGGGGUGGGCUGGCCAAGGAUGGUGGUCUUUAGUCGUUUAUAAAUGUCAGCAAUAACCACUUUAAGACACUGAACUGUUACUGUGAGAAAAAACCAGACUCACCCCAUGCCACCAUCCACCCAAUGGAAAGAACACUCAGAAGGCAUUCCAGAAGACUUCAGGGUGGCCCUGUCUUCCUGUCACGUAUCACGCUCUCAGGGACUUCAGAGGUAACUAAACUUGGGAGAUACCACUCACUGGGAACGAGACAGGUCCAGGAUAUUCUGGAUCAAUGAUCUCUUCUUGGAUAUAAUGAAAUAUGCCAUUUUUAGUCCGGAUGGUUAUCUACCCAUCUACUCACAAUAAUUAUCUCUGGGGCAGUGGGAUUAUGAAAGGACUUUUGUUUUCUUUGUAUCAUUUGAUUUUUUGUUUUUUUUCUUUUAGAGACAGGGUCUUGCUCUGUCACCCAGGCUGGAGUGCAGUGGCAUAAUCAUCGCUUAUGGUAGCCUUGUCAUUUGAAUUUUUUAUAUCAAUUAUGCAUUAUCAGGAAAAUAAGUAUCAUAAUUUUUUAAAACGUAAACUUUGUUUCAUUCCUGAUACAUCAACAGAGACAAUAUAAUUUUUUUUUUUUUUUUUGAGAUGGAGUUUCACUCUGCCCCUGCAGUACAGUGGCUCCAUCUCGGCUCCUGUAACUUCUGCCUCCUAGGUUCAAGUGAUUCUCCUGCCUCGGCCUCCUGAGUAGCUGGGAUUACAGGUGUGUGCCACUACACCUGGCUAAUUUUUAUAUUUUUAGUAGAGAUGGGGUUUCACCAUGUUGGUCAGGCUGGUCUCGAACCCCUGAUCUUAAGCGACCCUUCACCUCCCAAAGUGCUGGUAUUACAGAUGUGAGCCACAGCGCCCAGCAAGAGACAAUACCACUUAAACGGUGAACAUAUCAUCCAUUGCAGCAUACAACCAUGUGCCCAGGAAAGCCAACAUAACUAAGACUUGCCACUUUGGCAGAACUCUCUGGAAAGCGGUGUCUUCCUUUCACCAGAGAUGUAAAACAGCAAAUAAGGAAGUACAAGCAUGAAAGCAAAAUCGGAGGAACAUUUCCUGGACAGCAUUCCCAUCUCCAGUAAGAGUCCUUCUCACUUCAUAAAAGCGAUACGUAGAAGCAAGACUCUGCCUUUGCGGUGACGUCACUGAAUAUGCAGCCGGGGCCCAGAGUUGAACAAAUGCCACUCUGGCAAGCGGGGCAGGGUCUGGCUUAGCAACUUGACUUUGACCUACCACCUCUGGAUAAUUUUGCUUCUACAUAACUAUGGAGAUGAUGUACUCAUUCUAUUUAUAAAAAUAAUGCCCUUGGAGUAAACCCCAACCAUCCACUCCUACCUCCACCCUGGCCCAGGCCUGUUCUGCCCCAGUGCACCUAAUCUUCCUUCAUUCUUUAUCCCCCUUGUUCACACUGUGCCUGCAUCCUGCUCCUUGAACAAGCCUGGCCUCAUGCCGUUGCACGCUUGCUGCUUCCUCUAUCUGGAAUGCCUUUCUCAUUGCUCCUUGCCAAGCCACUCCUUUUUUUUUUUAGACACAGUUUCACUCUGUCGCCCAGGCUGGAAUGCAGUGGUGCAGUCUUGGCUCACUGCAACCUCUGCCUCCCGGGUUCAAGAGGUUCUCCUGUCUCAGCCUCCCAAGCAGCUGGGAUUAUAGGCGCACACCACCACGCCCAGCUAAUUUUUGUAUUACAAGUAAAGAUGGGGUUUCAACAUGGCCAGGCUGGUCUUGAACUCCUGAUCUCAGGUGAUCUGCCCACCUUGGCCUCCCAAAGUGCUAGGAUUACAGGCGUGAGCCACAGCGCCUGGCCCCAGGUCACUCCUAAUCCAUCAGGUUUCAACUGAAAUGUCAUGCUGGAAAGAGGCCUUCCUUCUCUCUCUAUCCUGGCUAACACUGCCUUCUCUCCCACACCAUCUUGCUAUCCCAUCUUUCUCUUCUGUUUUCUUCAGAGAACUUACUGAUACCUGAAAUGAUCUCAUCGUUUAUUUCUUCCUUUUUUCUUCAUUGUCUGUCUCCCCUUUGGAGCACAGGUUGCUUAAGAACAGGCACCUCACUGGGUGUGACCCAUGCCUGUAAUCCCAGCUACUCAGGAAGCUGGGGUGAGAGGAUGGCUUGAGCCCAGGAGUUCAAGGCUGCAGUGAGCUAUGAUUGUACCAAUGCACUCCAGCCUGGGUAACAGAGCACAAUUCCGUCUUUAAAAAAUAAUACAAAAAUAAAAAAGUAUAGGCACCUCUUCAGUUUUGUUCAUUUCUGAAUCUCUGGUGCCUGGGACAGAGCCUGAUGGUCAGUGAGAGGUGCUUAACAAAUGCUUGUGGAAGGAAGGACUGGGAUAUACUUUUGCAGUUCAAAGGACUUCAGGAAUGAAAUGGCAAUCUGAGGAUGGGGAGUAAAAUGUCCUGUUGUCAACCCUGUAAGCUGCUAAACCGACAUGGACUCCAAGCCAAAGCUGCAUAGGCCUCUAGGCUUUUAAACAUGUGGCUCCUGCCGCCCUGCGGGUGGUAUUCGAAAUAUUUAUCAGGUGCAUGUAUACACGUGUGGACAGGCUGAGCAUCAGCAAUUGCUGCCUGCCCUCACCAACUUGCCCCUCAAACUCUUACCCAGCUUUUAGGACCCAGGACAAAAGUCACUCCCUCUAGGAAGCCUUCCGGGAUCCUCUCCCUCCUCUGUCUGCGCCAUGCUCUGCCCCAACCUCUCUGCAUUCUCUCCCUGUACAGGGACUAUGUGCUAGUGACCCUUAGAAGUCAGACCCCAGCCUCACCGACCCCUGGUCACCGGGUGCCUCUGAAUGCUGACCUCUAGCCCAAGGUCUGCUCAUCAAACUGUGUGAAAUGAACGCAAGAGUGAAGGAACACAGCGGCGAGUGAAGGACAGAAUAAAUAACUGUCAGAAAGUGCCCCGAGGGGCCACUGCAGCACCGAGCCUCGCCGUCCUUCAGGUGUCCCGAGCACAAGGCCAAGG